AGAGCGAACGCUGGCGGCAGGCCUAACACAUGCAAGUCGAGCGCCCGUAGCAAUACGGGAGCGGCAGACGGGAUAGUAACACGUGGGAACGCGCCCUUCGGUUCGGAAUAACUCAGGGAAACUUGAGCUAAUACCGAAUACGCCCUUACGGGGAAAGAUUUAUUGCCGAAGGAACGGCCCGCGUCCGAUUAGCUAGUUGGUGAGGUAAUGGCUCACCAAGGCUACGAUCGGUAGCUGGUCUGAGAGGAUGACCAGCAUCACUGGGACUGAGACACGGCCCAGACUCCUACGGGAGGCAGCAGUGGGGAAUCUUGCGCAAUGGGCGAAAGCCUGACGCAGCAACGCCGCGUGUGGGACGAAGGCCUUCUGGGUUGUAAACCACUUUCAGCAGGGACGAUUGUGACGGUACCUGCAGAGAAGCCCCGGCAACUACGUGCCAGCAGCCGC
RNAcentral lists this ribosomal RNA (447 nucleotides) under uncultured bacterium. RNAcentral's name for it is "SSU rRNA". It matches the Rfam family "Bacterial small subunit ribosomal RNA", at positions 26 to 518 of the family's 1533-position model. The record is from RNAcentral.